GAGCGGGCCGGGCCGGGAUCGUCACUUCGGUCAAACGUGUCGGGUUGGUGCUGCGUGUUGUAUCUACUUAUUCGUGUACACAGUUUGCAACCGGACCAAAUCUAAUUAUCAGCAAUCUACUGAGUUAGAGCAAACACUUUGGCAGAGCUAAUGCACCAAAGAAGCAGAGAUUCAUAUUUUCUGAGACACAAGAGACUAGAUACUGGAAUCUGGAGCAACGCAGAAUCCGCUGAUGGAACACAGUGGAUGGAGGCAGCAUUCUGUGGGGGCCAGGUUUUUCGUGGUCUUUCGUCCGGGAGUGAUGGAGAGAGAGGACCCAAAUGGAGAGUCGGAAGACCACCGGACGGAGUGGACUGAGGGGCAAGGGUCCAAGGACCGGCUAUGCUUGCAGGUUGAUGGGAACAAAUGAAUGAACAGUGAGCUCCAACGAUGUGCAAUAGACUUUUUCCUUAAAAUGGGCCCUCUCACUUUUUAUUUUCUUUACUAACCCUCUACCCAGAUUUAGAUUUAUAAAGUUCAAUCAUUUAAUUGCGUAUGAUGUACCGUCUGAAAUUUUGCGGUACGGAUUUGUAACCGGGCAACACAACACACAGCAAGCAUCCAUA
Long non-coding RNA from Hypanus sabinus (Atlantic stingray), 605 nucleotides. RefSeq lists it as uncharacterized. The record is from RefSeq and is a predicted model, not a curated record. Lineage: Eukaryota; Metazoa; Chordata; Chondrichthyes; Myliobatiformes; Dasyatidae. The transcript is spliced from 3 exons.